This 164-nucleotide ribosomal RNA is filed under the name uncultured bacterium. Its description in RNAcentral is "partial 16S rRNA". It matches the Rfam family "Bacterial small subunit ribosomal RNA", at positions 358 to 511 of the family's 1533-position model. The record is from RNAcentral.
GGAGUCUUCGGCAAUGGGGGCGAACCCUGACCGAGCAACGCCGCGUGAGUGAAGAAGGUUUUCGGUAUCGUAAAGCUCUGUUGUAAGAGAAGAACGUGUGUGAGAGUGGAAAGUUCACACAGUGACGGUAACUUACCAGAAAGGGACGGCUAACUACGUGCCAG